RNAcentral lists this ribosomal RNA (473 nucleotides) under uncultured bacterium. RNAcentral describes it as "bacterial SSU rRNA". It matches the Rfam family "Bacterial small subunit ribosomal RNA", at positions 355 to 825 of the family's 1533-position model. The record is from RNAcentral.
UGGGGAAUAUUGCGCAAUGGGCGAAAGCCUGACGCAGCAACGCCGCGUGAGUGAUGAAGGCCUUCGGGUCGUAAAGCUCUGUCGGAGGGAACGAAUGCUCUUGAGGUUAACAGCCUCGGGAGGUGACGGUACCCUCAAAGGAAGCACCGGCUAACUACGUGCCAGCAGCCGCGGUAAUACGUAGGGUGCAAGCGUUAAUCGGAAUUACUGGGCGUAAAGCGUGCGCAGGCGGUUAUGCAAGACAGGUGUGAAAUCCCCGGGCUUAACCUGGGAACUGCACUUGUGACUGCAUAGCUGGAGUACGGCAGAGGGGGGUGGAAUUCCGCGUGUAGCGGUGAAAUGCGUAGAUAUCAAGAGGAACACCUGAGGCGAAGGCGGAUUGCUGGGCUGAUACUGACGCUGAGGCGCGAAAGCUAGGGUAGCAAACGGGAUUAGAUACCCCAGUAGUCCCUGAGCGGGCUGGCAAGGCGCAU